This 335-nucleotide long non-coding RNA is filed under the name Zea mays. Its description in RNAcentral is "long non-coding RNA (ZMAY_LNC000649)". Lineage: Eukaryota; Viridiplantae; Streptophyta; Magnoliopsida; Poales; Poaceae. The record is from RNAcentral.
GGAGGCAAGAGAGUGGGUUUCCGGCUUCAGUCGUAGGGGUUCCUGAACUUCUUCAGGAGGUCCGGGAUGUCGUAGGCCAGCAUGUCGUCCACGCCCUGGACCAUCUUGGGCCUCAGCUUCUCGAACCUGUCGAAGUUGUAGGCGCUCAGGAGCUCCCUGUACUCCUCCACGCUCGGGAAGUCCCCUGGCGGCAGGUGCAGCUCCUUCUGGACCUGCACAGAGCAAGGGCAUGCAGCUCGGAUUCAGAGACAAGAACACGAACGUGCAUUGCAUGCAUGUGGGCUACACGCCUACACCUACACUACACCUAUAGGUGCCAGUGUGCAACUUGCAAG